CGUCUAAGCAGUAAGGCUGAGUAUUAGGCAAAUCCGGUACUCGUUAAGGCUGAGCUGUGAUGGGGAGAAGACAUUGUGUCUUCGAGUCGUUGAUUUCACACUGCCGAGAAAAGCCUCUAGAUAGAAAAUAGGUGCCCGUACCGCAAACCGACACAGGUAGUCAAGAUGAGAAUUCUAAGGUGAGCGAGCGAACUCUCGUUAAGGAACUCGGCAAAAUGACCCCGUAACUUCGGGAGAAGGGGUGCUCUUUAGGGUUAACGCCCAGAAGAGCCGCAGUGAAUAGGCCCAAGCGACUGUUUAUCAAAAACACAGGUCUCUGCUAAACCGUAAGGUGAUGUAUAGGGGCUGACGCCUGCCCGGUGCUGGAAGGUUAAGAGGAGUGGUUAGCUUCUGCGAAGCUACGAAUCGAAGCCCCAGUAAACGGCGGCCGUAACUAUAACGGUCCUAAGGUAGCGAAAUUCCUUGUCGGGUAAGUUCCGACCCGCACGAAAGGCGUAACGAUUUGGGCACUGUCUCAACGAGAGACUCGGUGAAAUCAUAGUACCUGUGAAGAUGCAGGUUACCCGCGACAGGACGGAAAGACCCCGUGGAGCUUUACUGUAGCCUGAUAUUGAAAUUCGGCACAGCUUGUACAGGAUAGGUA
Molecule: ribosomal RNA, 643 nt
Filed under: Staphylococcus aureus
Lineage: Bacteria; Bacillati; Bacillota; Bacilli; Caryophanales; Staphylococcaceae
Description: partial 23S ribosomal RNA
Rfam family: Bacterial large subunit ribosomal RNA
Source: RNAcentral